Molecule: ribosomal RNA, 1892 nt
Filed under: human gut metagenome
Description: bacterial LSU rRNA
Rfam family: Bacterial large subunit ribosomal RNA
Source: RNAcentral
UCAAGUUAUUAAGGGUGCAGGGCGGAUGCCUUGGCACUAGGAGCCGAUGAAGGACGUGAUAAGCUGCGAUAAGCUUCGGGGAGUUGCACGUAAACUUUGAUCCGAAGAUUUCCGAAUGAGGAAACUCACUUAGAGUAAUGUCUAAGUAUCGUUAAGUGAAUACAUAGCUUAGCGAGGGGAACCCGGGGAACUGAAACAUCUAAGUACCCGGAGGAAGAGAAAGAAAUUCGAUUCCGUAAGUAGCGGCGAGCGAACGCGGAACAGGCCAAACCAAUGAAGUUUACUUCGUUGGGGUUGCGGACAUACAACAUGGACGAAAAAGCUACUAGUAUGAUCCAGAGUACCAUGGGACACGUGAAACCCUGUGGGAAGCAGGAGGGACCAUCCUCCAAGCCUAAAUACUACUUAGUGACCGAUAGCGCAUAGUACCGUGAGGGAAAGGUGAAAAGAACCCCGGGAGGGGAGUGAAAUAGAACCUGAAACCCUGCACUUACAAGCUGUGGGAGCACAUUACUUGUGUGACCGCGUACUUUUUGUAGAACGGGCCAACGAGUUACGUUAAGUAGCAAGGUUAAGCACUUAAGGUGUGGAGCCGUAGCGAAAGCGAGUCUUAAAUGGGCGAUUAAGUUACUUGGCGUAGACCCGAAACCGGGCGACCUAUCCAUGAGCAGGUUGAAGCGAAAGUAAAAUUUCGUGGAGGACCGAACCCACGAGCGUUGAAAAGCUCGGGGAUGACUUGUGGAUAGCGGAGAAAUUCCAAUCGAACCCGGAGAUAGCUGGUUCUCCCCGAAAUAGCUUUAGGGCUAGCCUCAAGCGUAGAGAAACGGAGGUAGAGCACUGAAUGUCCUAGGGGGUAUUGCACUUACCGAAGACUAUCAAACUCCGAAUGCCGUUUUCUUUUACUUGGGAGUCAGACUGUGGGUGAUAAGAUUCAUAGUCAAAAGGGCAACAGCCCAGAUCGUCAGCUAAGGUCCCUAAAUGUACGUUAAGUGGUAAAGGAUGUGGGAUUGCACAGACAACCAGGAUGUUGGCUUAGAAGCAGCCACUCAUUUAAAGAGUGCGUAAUAGCUCACUGGUCGAGUGAUCCUGCGCCGAAAAUUUCCGGGGCUAAAACGUACUACCGAAGCUACGGCAUCAUUUAUGAUGGGUAGGGGAGCUUCGUAUGCAGGCUGAAGCAUGACCGUAAGGACAUGUGGACAGUAUACGAGUGAGAAUGUUGGCAUGAGUAGCGAGACGUGGGUGAGAAUCCCACGGGCCGUAAACCCAAGGUUUCCAGGGGAAGGUUCGUCCGCCCUGGGUUAGUCGGGACCUAAGCCGAGGCCGAAAGGCGUAGGUGAUGGACAACAGGUUGAUAUUCCUGUACCGCCAAUAAGCGUUUGAGAGAUGGAGUGACACAGUAGGAUAAGCUAACCGUACUGUUGGUUAUGUACGGCUAAGCAUUGAGGCAGUCUAAAUAGGCAAAUCCGUUUAGACAAUGCUAGGAUGUGAUGGGGAAGCCCUUCGGGGCGAAGUAGCUGAUUUCACACUGUCAAGAAAAGCUUCUAUCGAGUUUAAAGGCGCCCGUACCGUAAACCGACACAGGUGGGUGAGGAGAGUAUCCUAAGGCCAGCGAGAGAACUAUUGUUAAGGAACUCGGCAAAAUGACCCCGUAACUUAGGGAGAAGGGGUGCCUGUCUAUGACAGGCCGCAGAGAAUAGGCCCAAGCGACUGUUUACCAAAAACACAGGUUUCUGCUAAGUCGCAAGACGAUGUAUAGGAGCUGACGCCUGCCCGGUGCUGGAAGGUUAAGGGGAUCUGUUAGAGCAAUCGAAGCAGUGAACUUAAGCCCCAGUAAACGGCGGCCGUAACUAUAACGGUCCUAAGGUAGCGAAAUUCCUUGUCGGGUAAGUUCC